RNAcentral lists this long non-coding RNA (416 nucleotides) under Mytilus galloprovincialis (Mediterranean mussel). Lineage: Eukaryota; Metazoa; Mollusca; Bivalvia; Mytilida; Mytilidae. The record is from RNAcentral.
UUAACAGUUUCAUAGUCUAUAAUAGUUUCUAAGUGCUGAGAUUCUUCUAAGUUAUUGUAUCCACCAAUAAACUGUGUAAGAAUUUUCAACAGCAGUUCCUCAAACCAUGAGUUUAAAAAAUCUUUCAAGUCAGUACUAAAAACAAUGACUGAAAACUCUAGUCUAGAUAUAAAUAUAUCAACGAAAAAUAUUGUUCCUGUCAAGAAACCAACAAAAAAUUGCACCCAAUGAACAAGACUACUUAUACAGAUCUAUUGUAUUGAAAUAUUUUAAUAUGUAUGUAAAUUGAUUUAGAACAAUGAAUUUGUCAUUUAAUAGCUUUGUUAUCAGUUUGUCAUUUGACUUGCUUUGUAUAAAUGUCUUAUGACCUGCUUUAUAUUGUCAUUGGCUACUGAAUAAAAUUCAGCAUCAUGGAA